CCUACGGGGGGCAGCAGUGGGGGAUAUUGGACAAUGGGGGGAACCCUGAUCCAGCGACGCCGCGUGAGUGAAGAAGUAUCUCGGUAUGUAAAGCUCUAUCAGCAGGGAAGAAGAAAUGACGGUACCUGAGUAAGAAGCCCCGGCUAACUACGUGCCAGCAGCCGCGGUAAUACGUAGGGGGCAAGCGUUAUCCGGAAUUACUGGGUGUAAAGGGAGCGUAGACGGUGAUGUAAGUCUGGAGUGAAAGGCGGGGGCCCAACCCCCGGACGGCUCGGGAAAUGAUGUGACGGGAGUGCAGGAGGGGUGAGCGGAGUGCCUAGUGUAGCGGUGAAAUGCGGAGAUAUUAGGAGG
This 351-nucleotide ribosomal RNA is filed under the name uncultured bacterium. RNAcentral describes it as "partial 16S ribosomal RNA". It matches the Rfam family "Bacterial small subunit ribosomal RNA", at positions 338 to 704 of the family's 1533-position model. The record is from RNAcentral.